This 497-nucleotide ribosomal RNA is filed under the name uncultured bacterium. RNAcentral describes it as "partial 16S ribosomal RNA". It matches the Rfam family "Bacterial small subunit ribosomal RNA", at positions 28 to 507 of the family's 1533-position model. The record is from RNAcentral.
GAUGAACGCUGGCGGCGUGCCUAAUACAUGCCAGUUGAGCGAACGGACGAGAAGCUUGCUUCUCUGAUGUUAGCGGCGGACGGGUGAGUAACACGUGGAUAACCUACCUAUAAGACUGGGAUAACUUCGGGAAACCGUAGCUAAUACCGGAUAAUAUUUUGAACCGCAUGGUUCAAAAGUGAAAGACGGUCUUGCUGUCACUUAUAGAUGGAUCCGCGCUGCAUUAGCUAGUUGGUAAGGUAACGGCUUACCAAGGCAACGAUGCAUAGCCGACCUGAGAGGGUGAUCGGCCACACUGGAACUGAGACACGGUCCAGACUCCUACGGGAGGCAGCAGUAGGGAAUCUUCCGCAAUGGGCGAAAGCCUGACGGAGCAACGCCGCGUGAGUGAUGAAGGUCUUCGGAUCGUAAAACUCUGUUAUUAGGGAAGAACACAUGUGUAAGUAACUGUGCACAUCUUGACGGUACCUAAUCAGAAAGCCACGGCUAACUACGUG